AUCAAAUUUGCUCCAAUGAUUUCAUUUGCAAUUAGGGAUGGCAACAGAUUGGGUUCAGUAGAGUGAAGGCAGAUUCAUGUCAAAAAUCUCAACGUAGACUUGAUGAGUUUAUAAUCGAGGUUGAAAAAUGUUUGUAUUAUAAAAUUAUACCCACAAAUAGUUUGGAUCCGGUGGACUGGCAGAUAAGACCUAACGUAAGAAAAGAUGCGUGAAAGAUGUGGA
This 222-nucleotide long non-coding RNA is filed under the name Elaeis guineensis (African oil palm). RNAcentral describes it as "long non-coding RNA (EGUI_LNC042528)". The record is from RNAcentral. Lineage: Eukaryota; Viridiplantae; Streptophyta; Magnoliopsida; Arecales; Arecaceae.